This 36-nucleotide small RNA is filed under the name Bombyx mori (domestic silkworm). RNAcentral's name for it is "ovarian small RNA-13921". The record is from RNAcentral. Lineage: Eukaryota; Metazoa; Arthropoda; Insecta; Lepidoptera; Bombycidae.
CCGUCGUCCCCAAACCAGCAAUCAUUUGCUGGGGAA